AUUGAACGCUGGCGGAAUGCUUUACACAUGCAAGUCGAACGGCAGCACGGACUUCGGUCUGGUGGCGAGUGGCGAACGGGUGAGUAAUGUAUCGGAACGUGCCCAGUCAUGGGGGAUAACGUAGUGAAAAUUACGCUAAUACCGCAUACGAUCUAUGGAUGAAAGCGGGGGAUCGCAAGACCUCGCGCGAUUGGACCGGCCGAUAUCAGAUUAGGUAGUUGGUGGGGUAAAGGCCCACCAAGCCAACGAUCUGUAGCUGGUCUGAGAGGACGACCAGCCACACUGGAACUGAGACACGGUCCAGACUCCUACGGGAGGCAGCAGUGGGGAAUUUUGGACAAUGGGCGGAAGCCUGAUCCAGCCAUUCCGCGUGCAGGAUGAAGGCCCUCGGGUUGUAAACUGCUUUUGUACAGAACGAAAAGGUUUCUACUAAUACUAGGAGCUCAUGACGGUACUGUAAGAAUAAGCACCGGCUAACUACGUGCCAGCAGCCGCGGUAA
RNAcentral lists this ribosomal RNA (500 nucleotides) under uncultured bacterium. RNAcentral's name for it is "partial 16S ribosomal RNA". It matches the Rfam family "Bacterial small subunit ribosomal RNA", at positions 30 to 523 of the family's 1533-position model. The record is from RNAcentral.